GCUUGCACAGAUGACGACCGGCGCACGGGUGCGUAACGCGUAUAGAACCUACCUUUUACAGAGGAAUAGCCUUUAGAAAUGAAGAUUAAUGCCUCAUAGUAUUGUAGACUGGCAUCAGUUUAUAAUUAAAGAUUUAUCGGUAAAAGAUGGCUAUGCGUCCUAUUAGUUAGUUGGUAAGGUAACGGCUUACCAAGACAGCGAUAGGUAGGGGUCCUGAGAGGGAGAUCCCCCACACUGGUACUGAGACACGGACCAGACUCCUACGGGAGGCAGCAGUGAGGAAUAUUGGACAAUGGAGGAGACUCUGAUCCAGCCAUGCCGCGUGUAGGAAGAAUGCCCUAUGGGUUGUAAACUACUUUUAUACAGGAAGAAACACUGGUAUGUAUACCAGCUUGACGGUA
This 401-nucleotide ribosomal RNA is filed under the name uncultured Polaribacter sp. RNAcentral describes it as "bacterial SSU rRNA". It matches the Rfam family "Bacterial small subunit ribosomal RNA", at positions 78 to 477 of the family's 1533-position model. The record is from RNAcentral. Lineage: Bacteria; Pseudomonadati; Bacteroidota; Flavobacteriia; Flavobacteriales; Flavobacteriaceae.